RNAcentral lists this ribosomal RNA (301 nucleotides) under uncultured bacterium. RNAcentral's name for it is "partial 16S ribosomal RNA". It matches the Rfam family "Bacterial small subunit ribosomal RNA", at positions 509 to 807 of the family's 1533-position model. The record is from RNAcentral.
CAGCCGCCGCGGUAAAACGUAGGGUGCAAGCGUUAAUCGGAAUUACUGGGCGUAAAGCGUGCGCAGGCGGUUAUAUAAGACAGAUGUGAAAUCCCCGGGCUCAACCUGGGAACUGCAUUUGUGACUGUAUAGCUAGAGUACGGCAGAGGGGGAUGGAAUUCCGCGUGUAGCAGUGAAAUGCGUAGAUAUGCGGAGGAACACCGAUGGCGAAGGCAAUCACCUGGGCCUGUACUGACGCUCAUGCACGAAAGCGUGGGGAGCAAACAGGAUUAGAUACCCCGGUAGUCCCUGUCUCUUAUAC